GCUUAACAUCCUUAUCAUUUAUCGCCCUCCAGGUUCCCUUGGAGAGUUCAUCAAUGAGCUUGACGCCUUGAUAAGUUCCUUUCCUGAGGAUGGCUCACCUCUCACAGUUCUGGACCAUUUCCGGAGACCUUCUCCCCUACCUCACCUCGCUCAUCAACGCAUCCUUGACCGCUGGCUACGUCCCUUCCGUCUUCAAGAGAGCGAGAGUUGCACCCCUUCUGAAAAAACCUACACUCGACCCCUCCGAUGUCAACAACUACAGACCUAUCUGCUGCCUUUGAUACCGUGAACCAUCAGAUCCUCCUCUCCACCCUCUCCGAGCUGGGCAUCUCUGGCACCGCGCACGCUUGGAUUGCGUCCUACCUGACAGGUCGCUCCUACCAGG
Molecule: long non-coding RNA, 385 nt
Filed under: Salmo salar (Atlantic salmon)
Lineage: Eukaryota; Metazoa; Chordata; Actinopteri; Salmoniformes; Salmonidae
Description: lncRNA (ENSSSAG00000113114.1)
Source: RNAcentral